This 2930-nucleotide ribosomal RNA is filed under the name Escherichia coli. Its description in RNAcentral is "23S ribosomal RNA". It matches the Rfam family "Bacterial large subunit ribosomal RNA". Lineage: Bacteria; Pseudomonadati; Pseudomonadota; Gammaproteobacteria; Enterobacterales; Enterobacteriaceae. The record is from RNAcentral.
GGGUUGUGAGGUUAAGCGACUAAGCGUACACGGUGGAUGCCCUGGCAGUCAGAGGCGAUGAAGGACGUGCUAAUCUGCGAUAAGCGUCGGUAAGGUGAUAUGAACCGUUAUAACCGGCGAUUUCCGAAUGGGGAAACCCAGUGUGUUUCGACACACUAUCAUUAACUGAAUCCAUAGGUUAAUGAGGCGAACCGGGGGAACUGAAACAUCUAAGUACCCCGAGGAAAAGAAAUCAACCGAGAUUCCCCCAGUAGCGGCGAGCGAACGGGGAGCAGCCCAGAGCCUGAAUCAGUGUGUGUGUUAGUGGAAGCGUCUGGAAAGGCGCGCGAUACAGGGUGACAGCCCCGUACACAAAAAUGCACAUGCUGUGAGCUCGAUGAGUAGGGCGGGACACGUGGUAUCCUGUCUGAAUAUGGGGGGACCAUCCUCCAAGGCUAAAUACUCCUGACUGACCGAUAGUGAACCAGUACCGUGAGGGAAAGGCGAAAAGAACCCCGGCGAGGGGAGUGAAAAAGAACCUGAAACCGUGUACGUACAAGCAGUGGGAGCACGCUUAGGCGUGUGACUGCGUACCUUUUGUAUAAUGGGUCAGCGACUUAUAUUCUGUAGCAAGGUUAACCGAAUAGGGGAGCCGAAGGGAAACCGAGUCUUAACUGGGCGUUAAGUUGCAGGGUAUAGACCCGAAACCCGGUGAUCUAGCCAUGGGCAGGUUGAAGGUUGGGUAACACUAACUGGAGGACCGAACCGACUAAUGUUGAAAAAUUAGCGGAUGACUUGUGGCUGGGGGUGAAAGGCCAAUCAAACCGGGAGAUAGCUGGUUCUCCCCGAAAGCUAUUUAGGUAGCGCCUCGUGAAUUCAUCUCCGGGGGUAGAGCACUGUUUCGGCAAGGGGGUCAUCCCGACUUACCAACCCGAUGCAAACUGCGAAUACCGGAGAAUGUUAUCACGGGAGACACACGGCGGGUGCUAACGUCCGUCGUGAAGAGGGAAACAACCCAGACCGCCAGCUAAGGUCCCAAAGUCAUGGUUAAGUGGGAAACGAUGUGGGAAGGCCCAGACAGCCAGGAUGUUGGCUUAGAAGCAGCCAUCAUUUAAAGAAAGCGUAAUAGCUCACUGGUCGAGUCGGCCUGCGCGGAAGAUGUAACGGGGCUAAACCAUGCACCGAAGCUGCGGCAGCGACGCUGAUGCGUUGUUGGGUAGGGGAGCGUUCUGUAAGCCUGCGAAGGUGUGCUGUGAGGCAUGCUGGAGGUAUCAGAAGUGCGAAUGCUGACAUAAGUAACGAUAAAGCGGGUGAAAAGCCCGCUCGCCGGAAGACCAAGGGUUCCUGUCCAACGUUAAUCGGGGCAGGGUGAGUCGACCCCUAAGGCGAGGCCGAAAGGCGUAGUCGAUGGGAAACAGGUUAAUAUUCCUGUACUUGGUGUUACUGCGAAGGGGGGACGGAGAAGGCUAUGUUGGCCGGGCGACGGUUGUCCCGGUUUAAGCGUGUAGGCUGGUUUUCCAGGCAAAUCCGGAAAAUCAAGGCUGAGGCGUGAUGACGAGGCACUACGGUGCUGAAGCAACAAAUGCCCUGCUUCCAGGAAAAGCCUCUAAGCAUCAGGUAACAUCAAAUCGUACCCCAAACCGACACAGGUGGUCAGGUAGAGAAUACCAAGGCGCUUGAGAGAACUCGGGUGAAGGAACUAGGCAAAAUGGUGCCGUAACUUCGGGAGAAGGCACGCUGAUAUGUAGGUGAGGUCCCUCGCGGAUGGAGCUGAAAUCAGUCGAAGAUACCAGCUGGCUGCAACUGUUUAUUAAAAACACAGCACUGUGCAAACACGAAAGUGGACGUAUACGGUGUGACGCCUGCCCGGUGCCGGAAGGUUAAUUGAUGGGGUCAGCGCAAGCGAAGCUCUUGAUCGAAGCCCCGGUAAACGGCGGCCGUAACUAUAACGGUCCUAAGGUAGCGAAAUUCCUUGUCGGGUAAGUUCCGACCUGCACGAAUGGCGUAAUGAUGGCCAGGCUGUCUCCACCCGAGACUCAGUGAAAUUGAACUCGCUGUGAAGAUGCAGUGUACCCGCGGCAAGACGGAAAGACCCCGUGAACCUUUACUAUAGCUUGACACUGAACAUUGAGCCUUGAUGUGUAGGAUAGGUGGGAGGCUUGGAAGUGUGGACGCCAGUCUGCAUGGAGCCGACCUUGAAAUACCACCCUUUAAUGUUUGAUGUUCUAACGUUGACCCGUAAUCCGGGUUGCGGACAGUGUCUGGUGGGUAGUUUGACUGGGGCGGUCUCCUCCUAAAGAGUAACGGAGGAGCACGAAGGUUGGCUAAUCCUGGUCGGACAUCAGGAGGUUAGUGCAAUGGCAUAAGCCAGCUUGACUGCGAGCGUGACGGCGCGAGCAGGUGCGAAAGCAGGUCAUAGUGAUCCGGUGGUUCUGAAUGGAAGGGCCAUCGCUCAACGGAUAAAAGGUACUCCGGGGAUAACAGGCUGAUACCGCCCAAGAGUUCAUAUCGACGGCGGUGUUUGGCACCUCGAUGUCGGCUCAUCACAUCCUGGGGCUGAAGUAGGUCCCAAGGGUAUGGCUGUUCGCCAUUUAAAGUGGUACGCGAGCUGGGUUUAGAACGUCGUGAGACAGUUCGGUCCCUAUCUGCCGUGGGCGCUGGAGAACUGAGGGGGGCUGCUCCUAGUACGAGAGGACCGGAGUGGACGCAUCACUGGUGUUCGGGUUGUCAUGCCAAUGGCACUGCCCGGUAGCUAAAUGCGGAAGAGAUAAGUGCUGAAAGCAUCUAAGCACGAAACUUGCCCCGAGAUGAGUUCUCCCUGACCCUUUAAGGGUCCUGAAGGAACGUUGAAGACGACGACGUUGAUAGGCCGGGUGUGUAAGCGCAGCGAUGCGUUGAGCUAACCGGUACUAAUGAACCGUGAGGCUUAACCUUACAACGCCGAAGCUGUU